UAUCGAUCCAAUCGCGUAAACGUUAAGAAAUCAAGCGAAAGAGCCUAUAGUGUGUUUUGGACACAAAAGAAAUGGACCUAGAAGAUAGCGAAGGGUAGGAAGGUGAAAUAGGCUUAUAUUCAUAAGCCUGCGAGGUUAGAGUCGACAUUAUGUCAGUGGUGUUGCGCAGCUUUGCAUCUUUGGCGAGUCACUGGUGGUCAACUUGGAUUAGUAGACGUGGCAUGUUGUGUAAUAGUUUAAUCUUCAACCUUCCGCUGGAUAAAUGUUACGUUUUCAAAUGUAAUAGAAUUUAAUUGUGCUUUUAAGCUAAAAAGAAAA
This is a long non-coding RNA of Salvia splendens (bonfire salvia), 318 nucleotides long. RefSeq lists it as uncharacterized. The record is from RefSeq and is a predicted model, not a curated record. The transcript has 2 exons. NCBI's taxonomy places the organism in Eukaryota, Viridiplantae, Streptophyta, Magnoliopsida, Lamiales, Lamiaceae.